Molecule: ribosomal RNA, 400 nt
Filed under: uncultured bacterium
Lineage: Bacteria
Description: bacterial SSU rRNA
Rfam family: Bacterial small subunit ribosomal RNA
Source: RNAcentral
UGGGGAAUCUUAGACAAUGGGGGAAACCCUGAUCUAGCCAUGCCGCGUGAGCGAUGAAGGCCUUAGGGUUGUAAAGCUCUUUCGGGGGGGAAGAUAAUGACGGUACCCCCAGAAGAAGCCCCGGCUAACUCCGUGCCAGCAGCCGCGGUAAUACGGAGGGGGCUAGCGUUGUUCGGAAUUACUGGGCGUAAAGCGCACGUAGGCGGGACGGAAAGUCAGAGGUGAAAUCCCGGGGCUCAACCCCGGAACGGCCUUUGAAACUUCCGUUCUUGAGGUCUGGAGAGGUGAGUGGAAUUCCGAGUGUAGAGGUGAAAUUCGUAGAUAUUCGGAGGAACACCAGUGGCGAAGGCGGCUCACUGGCCAGAUACUGACGCUGAGGUGCGAAAGCGUGGGGAGCAAA